UGCUGUGGCCUCCUCAUCACAAAGGGAUCC
This 30-nucleotide non-coding RNA is filed under the name Mus musculus (house mouse). The record is from RNAcentral. Lineage: Eukaryota; Metazoa; Chordata; Mammalia; Rodentia; Muridae.